UACGGAGGAUCCGAGCGUUAUCCGGAUUUAUUGGGUUUAAAGGGUGCGCAGGCGGGAUGUUAAGUCGGCGGUGAAAUUUUGCAGCUCAACUGUAAAAGUGCCUUCGAUACUGGCUUCCUUGAGUGUGGAUGAAGUAGGCGGAAUUUGUGGUGUAGCGGUGAAAUGCAUAGAUAUCACGAGGAACUCCGAUUGCGCAGGCAGCUUACUAAACUACUACUGACGCUCAGGCACGAAGGCGUGGGGAUCAAACAGGAUUAGAUA
RNAcentral lists this ribosomal RNA (261 nucleotides) under uncultured prokaryote. RNAcentral describes it as "partial 16S ribosomal RNA". It matches the Rfam family "Bacterial small subunit ribosomal RNA", at positions 524 to 784 of the family's 1533-position model. The record is from RNAcentral.